UUGUUKGUAAAUCUCGUGCCAGCCACCGCGGUUAUACGAGAGACCCUAGUUGAUUAUCACGGCGUAAAAAGUGGUUAAGAGACAUUAUAUAUAUAUAUUAAAGUCGAAGGUCUUCCAGGCCGUCAUAAACAUCAUGAAGACAUUAAGACCAAAUACGAAAGUAACUUUAUAUAGCUGACGCCACGAAACCUAAGAAACAAACUAGGAUUAGAUACCCC
Molecule: ribosomal RNA, 218 nt
Filed under: Crenuchus spilurus (sailfin tetra)
Lineage: Eukaryota; Metazoa; Chordata; Actinopteri; Characiformes; Crenuchidae
Description: partial small subunit ribosomal RNA
Source: RNAcentral